CCUGGUGACUUAGAUGGUAAAGCAUCUGCCUGCAAUGCAGGAGACCCGGGUUCAAUCCUGGGGUCAGGA
Molecule: transfer RNA, 69 nt
Filed under: Ovis aries (sheep)
Lineage: Eukaryota; Metazoa; Chordata; Mammalia; Artiodactyla; Bovidae
Rfam family: tRNA
About the family: Transfer RNA (tRNA) molecules are approximately 80 nucleotides in length. Their secondary structure includes four short double-helical elements and three loops (D, anti-codon, and T loops).
Source: Rfam by way of RNAcentral